Molecule: long non-coding RNA, 985 nt
Organism: Daucus carota subsp. sativus
Lineage: Eukaryota; Viridiplantae; Streptophyta; Magnoliopsida; Apiales; Apiaceae
Exons: 3
Source: RefSeq, a predicted model, not a curated record
ACAAGUCGCCGCCUUCAGAGUUCAGCCCUUCAACUCGCCGCCCGGCCUCCGCCUACAACCUCUCCGAGUUCGAGCGCCCGGCCUCCGCUUCUAUUUCGCUGCAGCCAUGUCUAGCCCAGACAACAAUCACGAACCUUCGCCGGAGGUGCAAUCAACCAACAAAGACAGUAAUUCCACCCCUGAUCCAGAUGUCAUAUUAAUCGACAAUGAUGCUGCUACAGACUCCAAGAUGGUUGUAGAAGGCGGUUCGGGAAAGGAAAGAAGUGAGGUGUGGAACCACUACACUAAGAAGACAUUGGACGGUGUUUUGAAAGCCGUUUGUAAAUAUUGUAGCAAGCAGUUGAAAGGUGAUUCAGGCAGCGGUACAACACACUUGAAGAAUCAUUAUGUGAAGAAACAUAAGUAGAAGCCUCAAGAGAGUAUAAGGCAAAAGCUUUUAUCAAGCAAUUUCAACAAAGAUCACCCUCAACUAGCAGCUUAUAAUUUCAAUCAAGAGGUAGCAAAAACGGAGAUAGCAAAGAUGAUUGUCAUGCAUGAAUAUCCGCUUUGUAUUGUGGAUCAGAUUGGAUUUAAGAGAUACUCAGCAGUGCUUCAGCCACUCUUCAAAGUUCCCUCCAGAAACACAAUAAAAAGUGAGAUUUUUCAUAUUUAUGAAUAUGAGAAAGCGAAGACCAGUAGCUUGUUGGAGAGUAUUUCAAGUCGAAUAGCAAUUACAACAGAUUUGUGGACUGCAAAUAAUCAGAAAAAGGGGUAUAUGGCUGUAACAGCUCAUUUCAUAGAUGGUUCUUGGAUGUUACAGAGCCGUAUUAUGAGGUUCAUAUAUGUGCCCUGUCCCCAUACGAAAGAUGUUCUUUGUGAGUAUUUACUAAAAUGUUUGAUGGACUGGAAUGUGGAUACCAAGAUUUCAUCUCUCACAGUUGAUAAUUGUUCCACAAAUGAUGCUAUGAUUGAAAUUCUGUUGGACAAGAUGGACAGUGCAUCUCUA